GACGAACGCUGGCGGCGUGCUUAACACAUGCAAGUCGAACGGAAAGGCCCUGCUUUUGUGGGGUGCUCGAGUGGCGAACGGGUGAGUAACACGUGAGUAACCUGCCCUUGACUUUGGGAUAACUUCAGGAAACUGGGGCUAAUACCGGAUAGGAGCUCCUGCUGCAUGGUGGGGGUUGGAAAGUUUCGGCGGUUGGGGAUGGACUCGCGGCUUAUCAGCUUGUUGGUGGGGUAGUGGCUUACCAAGGCUUUGACGGGUAGCCGGCCUGAGAGGGUGACCGGCCACAUUGGGACUGAGAUACGGCCCAGACUCCUACGGGAGGGAGGAGGGGGGAAUAUUGCACAAUGGGCGGAAGCCUGAUGCAGCAACGCCGCGUGCGGGAUGACGGCCUUCGGGUUGUAAACCGCUUUCGCCUGUGACGAAGCGUGAGUGACGGUAAUGGGUAAAGAAGCACCGGCUAACUACGUG
RNAcentral lists this ribosomal RNA (468 nucleotides) under uncultured bacterium. Its description in RNAcentral is "partial 16S ribosomal RNA". It matches the Rfam family "Bacterial small subunit ribosomal RNA", at positions 28 to 507 of the family's 1533-position model. The record is from RNAcentral.